Molecule: non-coding RNA, 29 nt
Filed under: Mus musculus (house mouse)
Lineage: Eukaryota; Metazoa; Chordata; Mammalia; Rodentia; Muridae
Source: RNAcentral
UAUUACUUACCAGGAGUGCACAUCUUCAC